CUACAUAUCAAUAAGCGGAGGAAAAGAAACCAACAGGGAUUGCCCUAGUAACGGCGAGUGAAGCGGCAACAGCUCAAAUUUGAAAUCUGGCUUCGGCCCGAGUUGUAAUUUGCAGAGGAUGUUUAUGGUGCGGUGCCUACCGAGUUCCCUGGAACGGGACGCCACAGAGGGUGAGAGCCCCGUCUGGUAGGACACUAAACCUGUGUUAAACUCCUUCAACGAGUCGAGUAGUUUGGGAAUGCUGCUCUAAAUGGGAGGUAAAUCUCUUCUAAAGCUAAAUACUGGCCAGAGACCGAUAGCGCACAAGUAGAGUGAUCGAAAGAUGAAAAGCACCUUGAAAAGGGGGUUAAACAGUACGUGAAAUUGUUGAAAGGGAAGCGUUUAUGACCAGACUUGUGUCGUGUGGCUCAUCCGAGGUUCUCCCCGGUGCACUCCACGCGGCUCAGGCCAACAUCGGUUGUCGUUGGGGGAUAAGAACAGUAGGAACGUGGCUCCCCUCGGGGAGUGUUAUAGCCUAUUGUACGAUACCCUGAUGGCGACCGAGGACCGCGCUUCGGCUAGGAUGUUGGCGUAAUGGUCAUUAGCGACCCGUCUUGAAACACGGACCAAGGAGUCGUCCAUUAGAGCGAGCGUUUGGGUGUAAAACCCGCACGCGUAAUGAAAGUGAAAUUAGGUGAGAGCUUCGGCGCAUCAUCGACCGAUCCUGAAGUUUACGGAUGGAUUUGAGUAAGAGUUUUAACGGACGGACCCGAAAGACAGUGAACUAUGCUUGAAUAGGGUGAAGCCAGAGGAAACUCUGGUGGAGGCUCGCAGCGGUUCUGACGUGCAAAUCGAUCGUCAAAUUUGAGCAUGGGGGCGAAAGACUAAUCGAACUGUCUAGUAGCUGGUUACCGCCGAAGU
This 900-nucleotide ribosomal RNA is filed under the name Ditopella biseptata. RNAcentral's name for it is "eukaryotic LSU rRNA". It matches the Rfam family "Eukaryotic large subunit ribosomal RNA", at positions 34 to 967 of the family's 3401-position model. The record is from RNAcentral. Lineage: Eukaryota; Fungi; Ascomycota; Sordariomycetes; Diaporthales; Gnomoniaceae.